RNAcentral lists this long non-coding RNA (514 nucleotides) under Homo sapiens (human). RNAcentral describes it as "HSALNT0345416". The record is from RNAcentral. Lineage: Eukaryota; Metazoa; Chordata; Mammalia; Primates; Hominidae.
AACCCGGGGCGGCUCCUUCCGAAGGCUCCACUCCAGCGGCUCGCUGCGGGAGACCAAGGCCAGCCGCCGUCCCAGGGGACGGCCCUCGGGGAACCUGAAUGACGUGCGAGGCCGUACCUCGGGGCGCUGGACUCCGCUCGGGCGCUCCCGCUCUCCGCUCCCGCUCUCGGGUCCCAAUCCCGACGCUCCGCGCGCUCCCGGACUAAGUGCGGACGCGCCCCACGCCCCCCGGCGCCAGCCCGGGACAGCGCUGCACCUGUUGCCACGUGCGACGCGGCGCUCAGCGGCUGCCACUGCCGCCGGCGCACCUGGCUGCACCGCGCGUCCCGGGACCACGCUCGUCCCCGCAGGAGCCCGGGGCUCCGCCGCACCCAGCGCUAGGGCCCAGGCCGGGCCGCGUCAGUCAACGAACAUUCGAGAUCCUGUCAUGUGUCAGACACUGUGCGGAGAGCUGGAGAUAAAACUGUCAACAAGAUGAAUGCAGCCUCUAAAAUAAAGAGUUUCUAAUCCAGUG